AACGCACGAGACCUGCGGACCUGCGGAGGGAUCAUUACAUGGCGGAGGAGGUGGGCACCUAGUAAAAACAAAACCCUAGGUGUGUUGCCUACCACGCUUUCUACCCUUGUCUAUUUGCACCUUUUGUCGUUCCCUCGGUGGGUCUUGAACCUGCCGGCGGCAACUUUCAAAAACCUUUUGUAGUUAGUAUCUAAUUCUUCUGAUCAAAUAUUCAAUCGUUACAACUUUUAGCAAUGGAUC
Molecule: unclassified non-coding RNA, 240 nt
Filed under: soil metagenome
Description: partial contains 5.8S ribosomal RNA, internal transcribed spacer 2, and large subunit ribosomal RNA
Source: RNAcentral